Long non-coding RNA from Bactrocera neohumeralis, 881 nucleotides. RefSeq lists it as uncharacterized. Lineage: Eukaryota; Metazoa; Arthropoda; Insecta; Diptera; Tephritidae. The record is from RefSeq and is a predicted model, not a curated record. The transcript has 2 exons.
UUAUUCACAUAAAUCAAAUGUUUAUUUUUACAUAUACAUAUGUAUGCAUGUGCAGUUAAUAACGAAUGCAAUUAAUAACUGUAAUCACUUAAAUUUUCGAAAUAAAAAUUAAUUACCGGAAAGCUUCGAAUCGAUCAAAAGAUAGUAUCGAUGCAUGAAUAUACAGCGGUAAUGAUACAAUUGUGAGGGCCUGUGCUUUAGUGGGUGAUACAGGAAAUGAUGAUGAAUUCCACAAUUGUUUGUGAAUUAACAUGCAUAAAUUUUAUCAGAUAAAAUUAUUUUGAAUUAAAAUUAUAAAUUAGAGAGCAAGGUAAGGAUUACUUUAGCUUAGAAGUUAGUUUGGCAUUACUUUGUGAUAAAAUUCAGAACUUUUUAAUAAACUUCGCGGUACUUCUUCACGAGUCCGGAACGAUGUGAACAAAGGAUUUACUAGCACUUCAGUUUGGUAGUGAUGUUUUUACUUUAUUUAGUAACCUUUUCAAAAAUUAUUGUAAUUAUAUAAUAACAGCGCCUACGCUAGCUACGUCGUCCCAUUGGAUGAAUACACUCCAGCCCUGAGGGUAUUCUGUGCAGUACCCGCCGGGGAAGCAGAGGAAGAGGAAGACGUCCACUCCAGCGAAAAGGAAGAACGACUAGCUUGCGGUUGUAAACUCGGCUAUAACCGCAUAAGCGGUGUCUACGCCAAUAAAGGAUAACAGUUAUAUAUAUUUCUUUCGUCACUUCUUACUUACCGUUUUUAACUCGAAAAAAAAAUACAAAUAAAAUAUGUUUUUUCCAAAUUCAUAACAAAUAAAAUACUAUAUGUACAUAUGUAUAUUUGAAAUGCUUUAUAAAUGAACACAUUCAAACUUUGAUUACAUAAUGUUACUACAAUCUGCAAA